This is a long non-coding RNA of Armigeres subalbatus, 2357 nucleotides long. RefSeq lists it as uncharacterized. The record is from RefSeq and is a predicted model, not a curated record. Lineage: Eukaryota; Metazoa; Arthropoda; Insecta; Diptera; Culicidae. The transcript has 2 exons.
CACGAGGCUUCCCAUAGAGGUAUUUGGGAGAAUCAUAAACAAAUUUCACGCAAAUACUUCUUCCCAAAAAUGAAAAUCAAAAUUAGGCAGUUUAUCAAGUUAUGCGAAACAUGUAGUAAAAACAAAUACGAGAGGAAACCUUAUCAAAUCAAACUAGGAGAAACUCCAAUUCCAAAACGGCCCUUAGAGAUAAUCCAUGUAGAUAUCUUUAUUGCACAACCAGACCUUUUCCUGACAAUCGUAGACAAAUUAUCAAGAUUUGGAGUAAUCAUCCCGAUUAAAUCAAGAACAAUCCAAGACGUUCGAAAGGCGUUAUUGAAGUUUAUCAGUUUGCACGGAAAACCACAACUGAUCGUCUGUGAUAACGAACCCGCGUUAAAGUCUAUAGAGGUAAGAGGACUUAUGGAUGAUCUAGAAAUUCAAAUGUAUUUUACCCCUUCCAACCACAGCGAAACGAACGGAAUAGUCGAAAGAUUUAAUUCGACACUAGCUGAAAUAUUCAAAUGUAUUAAAGGUCGACACGAAGACCUCUCACAAAAAGAAAAAAUCAUGAUAGCUUGUACUCAAUACAAUGAAACCAUCCACUCGGCAACAAAACUCAAACCUAGAGAAAUUUUCUUCGGCGUUAAAGAUCAAGACGUUAGACCUCUUAACAUUGAAGAAAUGAUCGUAAAAAGGAAUAAACUAUAUGAUGACGUAACGUUAGAGCUUACGAAAACUCAGAAAGCCAAUUUAGACCAAAGAAACAAACACCGCGAAAACGAACCUAAACUAGACGAAAAUGAUAGAGUUUUUCAUAGAGUACAAGGUAUCAAGGAUAAGACAAAUGUGAGAUACUCUCCAGUACAUGUCGCAAAUGAUAAUAACAAAACAUUUAACGACGACAUGAACCGCAAGUUACAUACAACCAACAUAAGAAGAAUUUUGAACUAACAUUUCUUUAUAUUUUAGGCGAACAUGGAAUCUACCUUGCUUGUGAUGAUUGGCCUUGUCCUUACUGCUAAUUCCCAGCAGCAUACGCUUCACAUACAGGACUUAUCGACAAACCCAGGACUGCUGACAAUAACAACAGGACAUUGUUUCAUAACCAAAGGACAAGACAGACUAUAUCAUGAAAUAGAUCUCGACCAAUACCAAAAGUUGUUGGAUAACAUCGACAAGAUUAUACGAGGACUCACGCAUUUCGACACCUUCAAAGAUUUGACUAUUUUGCUAUCCAACAAAUUUGAUGACAUUUUGAGGCUCUAUGAAAACUUACUGCCCCAUAGGAGAUUAAAAAGAGGAGCAUUUAUCUUGUUAGGGUCAAGUAUUAAAUUGUUAACAGGUAACCUUGAUGAUAAUGACCUUGUAAAAAUAGACCAAGAAAUCCAGAAUCUGAAAGUUAGUGGAAAUAGUUUAAAACAAUCUUCAGAUUAGGUUAAACAGGAAAUUCGAGAAUCAGAUAAAUAAAAUGAUAAAAACAUUUAAUGACCAACAAACUAUUAUAACCAGAGAACUUAUAAAUAUUAAACGGGGCAUCAAUAAUAACACAGGAAUUAAUCACGUAUCUUUUCUCAUCCAAACAUUCAAAACAACUUACCAAUUAGAGCAAAUAGAAAAAGAGCUAGUCUAUUUUUGAAACUUCUCAAUUAGCAAACCUUAACGUAAUUUCUAAAAACAUUUUAGGAAAAUCAGAACUCAGCCUUAUUAGAGAAAAACUUGAGAGUCAUAACAUUACCUUUCAAAGCACUGAUCAAAUUUAUGAAAUGUUAGGGAUUAGCUCAGUAUUUAGGAACCAAAAGUUAUACUUCAUAAUCUUUAUUCCACAGUUAGAAUCUACUAUUUUCAAUCGAAUCCUUAUGGAGCCUAUACCAAUCGACGGAAGAAUCAUCGAAUUGCCCUCAUCAUCUGCACUCAUCGGACUCAACAAGACUUUUCUACUCAAAUCGGAAUGCCGUACUGUAGGACAAAACGCUUUAUGCGAUAAGGAUAACUUAGCGGAUGUAUCUCAAGAUGAUUGCGUUUCCAAGAUACUCAGAGGAAUCCCAGAAUGUGGACACCAUAACCAAAUCGGGACGAAUCGGUCUUGAAGGGGGAGUAGUUACAACGGACACCAACGUCAAGAAUUACGCCACCAUCAUCAAGUUUCCUCGCAGCCUAAGUCUCCACCAGAACGCAUAGCAUGAGUCCAAAGUACGAUAACCCGAAUGAUGAGACCAGCAAAUAGAGGACGUUAGCAACAACCUACCAAUCGGACGACGGAAGUGCGGACAUAAACAAAACUUACUUUUAGCUAGGUCAGGCAAUCAGUGCAACUCAUUAAGGUUUGAUGUAAGCUUAAUUAAUAAAUAAAAUUCAUUCUGUGUUCAAUCGUGUUA